Molecule: ribosomal RNA, 422 nt
Filed under: uncultured bacterium
Lineage: Bacteria
Description: bacterial SSU rRNA
Rfam family: Bacterial small subunit ribosomal RNA
Source: RNAcentral
AACGAACGCUGGCGGCAGGCCUAACACAUGCAAGUCGAGCGCUCUCUUCGGAGGGAGCGGCGGACGGGUUAGUAACGCGUGGGAAUAUGCCCUUCUCUACGGAAUAGCCUCGGGAAACUGAGAGUAAUACCGUAUACGCCCUUCGGGGGAAAGAUUUAUCGGAGAAGGAUUAGCCCGCGUUGGAUUAGGUAGUUGGUGGGGUAAUGGCCUACCAAGCCUACGAUCCAUAGCUGGUUUGAGAGGAUGAUCAGCAACACUGGGACUGAGACACGGCCCAGACUCCUACGGGAGGCAGCAGUGGGGAAUCUUAGACAAUGGCGCAAGCCUGAUCUAGCCAUGCCGCGUGAGUGACGAAGGCCUUAGGGUCGUAAAGCUCUUUCGCCAGGGAUGAUAAUGACAGUACCUGGUAAAGAACCCCGGCU